GCUCCGGGAGGAAGAGUAUUCCCGGAGGGGGCACCGGCGGGUGCCAAGGCAGGAAGACUGUCACCACCCCUCAGAAGCUGCGACUCCCGCCCGGGAACGCCCCUGUCUGGCCUCAGCUUUCUCCUUUGUAAAAAGGGAGCAGUGCUGCCUGCCAGGCCAGGACGCUGGAAAAUUCUCCAGGAGCCUUGUAGGGGCUGGGCACGGCACUUCGUUGCAGUCCUCCAGGGCUGACCUCCUUCUCCUUGUCCGUCCCGGGAGGCUGUGAGUCCUGCGGGAGGGGGCCCGGGCCGUCUGCCCCCUGGCUCCUCCCAGGGCCCGGCACGGCCUGGCGCCAGUAGGUGUCUGUGGAAUUGAAUGCACGAGGACAUCCCAGUUCCGUUGUCUGCGUGGUGGGGACAAUGCGGAGGUGGCCGCAGUGCAGGGAUGAAAAAGCUGCUGUCUGCUCUCCCCGCCUCCCGCUGGCAGGUCAGGCCGCUGUGGACCCCCGAGAGCCCCCGGCGGGUGGGGAAGGAGGUGAGCGGGUGGGCUGGACAGAUCCCCCAGCUCUGGGUUCUGAGGCCGGGGAUCCCGAGGUGCCCGGAAGGAAAUGACAAUCAGCUUCAUUGACAAUGGAAGGAAACUGAGGUACGUUAACAACAACAAUAACAAAAUCCAUCCCUUACUGAGUGCCUGCUCCACGCCAGGCGCUGGGCUGAGCCCUUUGACCCACGUUGUUUCGGGUAACCCUUUCAGCAGUUAUCCUAGGAAGCUGACAGCACGGCCCCAUGUCACAAGUGAGGAAACGAAGACUCAGAGAGGUAAGUCGGGGCCUCACCACCAGCCGCCGUGCCCAGCCCUCUUUUAUUUUUAUCUUCUAUUCACUGGAAUCUAAAACAGAACUUAGAACAGUUUAGGUACUUAAUAAAUACUUGCCCAAUGAAUAAAUGAAUUAAUUUUGAUUUUUGAUCCAAUAUGAGUCUUUGUUUUUUAAUAGACCUAUUUAACUCAUUUACAUUUAUUACAUUUAUUGUUUAAAUGAUAUGUUUGGUCCUGUGUCAUCUUGUAUUAUUUUUGUUCCCAUUCCCGCCUGGAGGGACCAUGAGGAGAAACAGAGCCACCUUUACAAAAAUCUGGCUCCAGAACUCAGAAUCGAAAACCCGGGACUGCUGAGUGGGUAAGGGGUACCUGGGGGAGACGGGAUGUGGGGAUUGGACAGAGUUCUCAUCUGGGGGACCCGGAGCUGUGCAACAAAUCACUGCAAGAAUGAGGGGUCUGGGCUCAGUGUCAUGGCCUUUUCACUCUGGAUGGCCCAGGGCAGGGAGGGGAAGCCCCAACCUCCAGCUCACUCCAGCAACCUGGAAUUUACUCUGCUUCAUUCAUUCAUUCUUUCAAUCAGUCAACAGAAAACAUAAUAUGCAGACGUGCCGGGCAUGUUCACACGGAGCUGUGGGUCAGCCAUGCUCUUGGCUCUCAGCAACCCGAGCUGGACUCUUGGCCCUGCCCAGCCAGGGCCCUUCCUCCCACCUGAAUGGCCUAAAAGUGUGGACCCAGCCUCCCCCUCUAGGGAGAAGACCUACCGUGAGUCACUCGGUGCCAGGCUCUGCACUGGUAGUUUACAUGCUUAAUUGGCUCAUUAAUUGGCUCAUCAGGUUAGUUUUCUCCCCAUUUCAAAGAGAAGACUGAUGCUCAGAGAGGUAGAGUGACAUGUCCAAUGCCACACAGCCAGUGAGUGUCAUGGCUGGGGUGUGAACUCUGUGCGGACACUAUAAGGUGCCUUCUUGCCACUGCAGGGCCGCCUGCUGGGAAAUGGCAGUGGACAGGCCUCAGCCGGCUGCGUGUCCUCACGUGGGUCCCCUGACCUUUGUGGCCUCAGUUCUCUGUCUGGGAAACACAUGAGGUCAGGGUCAGGACCUUGACGGCCCCACCCUCGGGGCAGUGGAGUUCCCAAAGGGCUGAGCAGGCGACUUCUCAUUUCACCCUCACAAUGACCCCGCCUGACAAAGGAGGAAACUGAGGCUCAGAGAGGGGAAGUGCGUUUCCUAUGAGGACCUGGGACGGAGUCUGUUCACUGAAUGCACACCACAGAUGUUCAAUAUGCCUCAGCUGCUGUUGUCACCGUUGUCACCAGGCCCUGACUGUCCACUUCCCAGCUAAGGUCGUGCUCAGUUUCACUUUCAUCCGUCAUAAAGUGGAAGGAACAGCGGCGCCUGCCUCCGGAGCUGGGCAGGAUCCGUUCAUGCCUCCACAAGUGCCUGGCAGAAUCUGUCCCCAUGUGGCAGCUGAGGCUCAGAGACAGCAAGUGAGACCUUGGGGGUCUUGCGUCCUCGAGCCAGGCCUGGGAAACCUGCUUCGCCUCAGGCCGUGGGUGUGGCCGGGACAGGCGUCCUCCGCCUAGAAAUCCUCCGCCUGGGGCCCACCCUGCAGUCCUCCCCGUGGUCCUCCCUGCAGUCCUGCUGCCCCUGGCUUCUCCCGUGAUCAUUACCAUUGUCACUAGGCCAUGAGUAAACUGUGAUUAUAAAUCGUAUAAA
This is a long non-coding RNA of Lemur catta (Ring-tailed lemur), 2507 nucleotides long. RefSeq lists it as uncharacterized. The transcript is spliced from 3 exons. The record is from RefSeq and is a predicted model, not a curated record. NCBI's taxonomy places the organism in Eukaryota, Metazoa, Chordata, Mammalia, Primates, Lemuridae.